AUUGAACGCUGGCGGCAUGCUUUACACAUGCAAGUCGAACGGUAACAGGGUAAGUAGAGUGGCAAACGGGUGAGUAAUGAAUAGGAAUGUACCUUUUGGUGGGGGAUAACCACAGGAAACCGUGGCUAAUACCGCAUGAGAUCGAGAGAUGAAAGGAGGCGUCGGGCAACCGAGCUUUCGCCGAUAGAGCAGCCUAUUUCCCAUUAGCUAGUUGGUAGGGUAAUGGCUCACCAAGGCGACGACGGGUAGCCGGCCUGAGAGGGUGACCGGCCACACUGGGACUGAGACACGGCCCGGACUCCUACGGGAGGCAGCAGUGGGGAAUAUUGCACAAUGGGCGCAAGCCUGAUGCAGCAACGCCGCGUGAGGGACGACGGCCUUCGGGUUGUAAACCUCUUUUAGCAGGGAAGAAGCGCAAGUGACGGUACCUGCAGAAAAAGCACCGGCUAACUACGUGCCAGCAGCCGCCGUAA
Molecule: ribosomal RNA, 473 nt
Filed under: uncultured bacterium
Lineage: Bacteria
Description: partial 16S ribosomal RNA
Rfam family: Bacterial small subunit ribosomal RNA
Source: RNAcentral